RNAcentral lists this ribosomal RNA (462 nucleotides) under uncultured bacterium. Its description in RNAcentral is "partial 16S ribosomal RNA". It matches the Rfam family "Bacterial small subunit ribosomal RNA", at positions 28 to 507 of the family's 1533-position model. The record is from RNAcentral.
GACGAACGAUGGCGGAGGGAGGAAAAAAGGACAGUCGAGAUGAAAGGCCCUUCGGGGGACGAGACCGGCGAACGGGUGAGUAACACUGUAGUCACCUGCCCCAGCACUUGGGAUAACCCUCGGAAAUGUGGUCUAAUACCGGAUACGACACACCUUCGCAUGUGUGCUGUAUGGAAAGUUUUUCGGUUUGGGAUGGGCUCGCGGCCUAUCAGCUUGUUGGUGGGGUGAUGGCCUACCAAGGCGACGAGGGGGCGCCGGGCUGAUAGGGCGACCGGCCACACUGGGACGUGGACACGGCCCAGACUCCUACGUGAGGCAGCAGUGGGGAAUAUUGCACAAUGGGCGGAACGCUGAUGCAGCGACGCCGGUGGACGGGUCCCUCCCUUGUUCGUGUAAACCUCUUGCAGACGGGACGUACCGUAAGUGACGGUACCUGCAGAAGAAGCGCCGGCCCCCUACGUC